RNAcentral lists this ribosomal RNA (481 nucleotides) under uncultured bacterium. RNAcentral's name for it is "partial 16S ribosomal RNA". It matches the Rfam family "Bacterial small subunit ribosomal RNA", at positions 28 to 523 of the family's 1533-position model. The record is from RNAcentral.
GACGAACGCUGGCGGCGUGCUUAACACAUGCAAGUCGAGCGGAAAGGCCACUUCGGUGGUACUCGAGCGGCGAACGGGUGAGUAACACGUGAGUAAUCUGCCCCUGGCUUUGGGAUAGCCACCGGAAACGGUGAUUAAUACCGGAUACGACCACUUCUCGCAUGGGAUGGUGGUGGAAAGUUUUUUCGGCCAGGGAUGUGCUCGCGGCCUAUCAGCUUGAUGGUGAGGUAAUGGCUCACCAUGGCUUCGACGGGUAGCCGGCCUGAGAGGGUGACCGGUCACACUGGGACUGAGACACGGCCCAGACUCCUACGGGAGGCAGCAGUGGGGAAUAUUGGACAAUGGGCGGAAGCCUGAUCCAGCAACGCCGCGUGAGGGAUGACGGCCUUCGGGUUGUAAACCUCUUUCAGCAGGGACGAAGCGCAAGUGACGGUACCUGCAGAAGAAGCACCGGCCAACUACGUGCCAGCAGCCGCCGCAG